GACGAACGCUGGCGGCGUGCUUAACACAUGCAAGUCGAACGGAAAGGCCCUGCUUUUGUGGGUGCUCGAGUGGCGAACGGGUGAGUAACACGUGAGUAACCUGCCCUUGACUUUGGGAUAACUUCAGGAAACUGGGGCUAAUACCGGAUAGGAGCUCCUGCUGCAUGGUGGGGGUUGGAAAGUUUCGGCGGUUGGGGAUGGACUCGCGGCUUAUCAGCUUGUUGGUGGGGUAGUGGCUUACCAAGGCUUUGACGGGUAGCCGGCCUGAGAGGGUGACCGGCCACAUUGGGACUGAGAUACGGCCCAGACUCCUACGGGAGGCAGCAGUGGGGAAUAUUGCACAAUGGGCGGAAGCCUGAUGCAGCAACGCCGCGUGCGGGAUGACGGCCUUCGGGUUGUAAACCGCUUUCGCCUGAGACGAAGCGUGAGUGACGGUAAUGUGUAAAGAAGCACCGGCUAACUACGUG
Molecule: ribosomal RNA, 467 nt
Filed under: uncultured bacterium
Lineage: Bacteria
Description: partial 16S ribosomal RNA
Rfam family: Bacterial small subunit ribosomal RNA
Source: RNAcentral